CAAAGGUUUGGUCCUGGCCUUCCUAUUAGUUCUUAGUAAACUUACACAUGCGAGUCUCCGCAUUCCAGUGAAAAUGCCCUCCAAAUCACCUUGUGAUUAUAAAGGAGCGGGUAUCAAGCGCACUAUAAUAAGUAGCUCACAACACCUUGCUCAGCCACACCCCCACGGGACACAGCAGUGACAAAAAUUAAGCUAUGAACGAAAGUUCGACUAAGUUAUACUAACAAAGGGUUGGUAAAUUUCGUGCCAGCUACCGCGGUCACACGAUUGACCCAAACUAAUAAGCUCACGGCGUAAAACGUGUUAAAGAAAUACCCAACACUAAAGUUAAAAUCUGACCAGGUCGUAAAAAACUACUGCCAGUACAAAAUAUACCACGAAAGUGACUUUAUCAGUUCUGACUACACGAUAGCUAAGACCCAAACUGGGAUUAGAUACCCCACUAUGCUUAGCCCUAAACAUAGAUAAUUUUAAUGUAACAAAAUUGCAUGCCAGAGAACUACUAGCAACAGCUUAAAACUCAAAGGACUUGGCGGUGCUUUAUAUCCCUCUAGAGGAGCCUGUUCUGUAAUCGAUAAACCCCGAUAAACCUCACCACUUCUAGCUAAAUCAGUCUAUAUACCGCCAUCUUCAGCAAACCCUUAAAAGGAGUAAAAGUAAGCACAAUCAUCAGACAUAAAAAAGUUAGGUCAAGGUGUAGCCUAUGGAGUGGGAAGAAAUGGGCUACAUUUUCUAAGCAAGAACAUACCCAUGUACGAAAGUCCUUAUGAAAAUCAAAGACUAAAGGAGGAUUUAGUAGUAAAUUAAGAAUAGAGAGCUUAAUUGAAUUGGGCCAUGAAGCACGCACACACCGCCCGUCACCCUCCUCAAGCAAUACAACCCGAACACAUCAUAUAACUAACUAAAUAAAGCAAGAGGAGACAAGUCGUAACAAGGUAAGCAUACUGGAAAGUGUGCUUGGAUAAAC
RNAcentral lists this non-coding RNA (967 nucleotides) under Nasua nasua (ring-tailed coati). RNAcentral describes it as "12S ribosomal RNA". It matches the Rfam family "Bacterial small subunit ribosomal RNA". The record is from RNAcentral. Lineage: Eukaryota; Metazoa; Chordata; Mammalia; Carnivora; Procyonidae.